Molecule: non-coding RNA, 183 nt
Filed under: Candidatus Zymogenus saltonus
Lineage: Bacteria; Deltaproteobacteria; Candidatus Zymogeniales; Candidatus Zymogenaceae
Description: 6S / SsrS RNA
Rfam family: 6S / SsrS RNA
About the family: E. coli 6S RNA was the first non coding RNA to be sequenced, but its function was unknown until recently. It consists of 184 nucleotides that fold into an extended hairpin structure with a large single-stranded internal bulge. The 6S RNA specifically associates with RNA polymerase holoenzyme containing the sigma70 specificity factor.
Source: Rfam by way of RNAcentral
UGCCCCCUGCGAUGUACGUGAUGGAGGAGUUAAUUUUGAGCCAACGCUAAAAAACAGGGAGCCGUCCCUUGCCGCGGUGUGUAUGCCUUCCUAUUAGGUGGGAAACCUUAAGCGGCAAUAUGGCGCCCACCUGCGAUAUGCAGGUUCAAAUGAGACCAACACACGGCACCCGGCGGGGGGCAU